CGAUCUUCUGUUCUCAGGGUCAGACGCUGGCGGGAUGCUUUACGCAUAUGCGAGUCGAACGGCAGCACGGACUUCAGUCUGGUGAGCGAGUGGCGAACGGGUGAGUAAUGUGGAACGUGCCUAGUAGCGGGGGAUGAACUGCGCGAAAGCGUAGCUAUCUACCAUGUUCCUUCGGGGAAAGCAGGGGACCUUCGGGCCUCGCACUAUUAGAGCGGCCGAUAUCGGAUUAGCUAGUUGGUGGGAGUAACGACUCCGCAAGGCGACGAUCCGUAGCGCUGGUUGAAGGACAACGUGGGACUGGGAUGCGGCCCAGACUCCUGCAGGAGGCAGCGAUGGAGGAAUUUUGGACAAUGAGAAGGAAGAUUCCCUGAUCCCAGCCAUCCCAUUGUGCGAUGAAGGCCUUCGGGUUGUAAAGCACUUUGGCAGGAAAGAAACGGCACGGGAUAAUACCCCGUGCAACUGACGGUACCUGCAGAAUAAGCGCGGCUAACUACGGUUCAGCAGCCGCGGCAGCCGUAGGGUGCAAGCGUUAAUCGGAAUUACUGGGCGUAAAGCGUGCGCAGGCGGUUCGGAAAAGAAAAGAUGUCUGAAUCAGAGCUUAACUUUGGAACUGCAUUUUAACUACCGAGCUAGAGUGUGUCAGAGGGGAGGUGGAAUUCCGCGUGUAGCAGUGAAAUGCGUAGAUAUGCGGAGGAACACCGAUGGCGAAGGCAGCCUCCUGGGAUAACACUGACGCUCAUGCACAGCUAAUGGAAGGACGAUUGGGAUUACCGAAUGCCCUGGUAGUCCACGCCUAAACGAUGUCAACUGGCUAUUUGGGGCCUUCGGGCCUUGGUAGCGCAGCUAACGCGUGAAGUUGACCGCCUGGGGAGUACGGUCGCAAGAUUAAAACUCAAAGGAAUUGACGGGGACCCGCACAAGCGGUGGAUGAUGUGGAUUAAUUCGAUGCAACGCGAAAAACCUUACCUACCCUUGACAUGUCUGGAAUCCCGAAGAGAUUCAGUGCUCGCAAGAGAACCGGAACACAGGUGCUGCAUGGCUGUCGUCAGCUCGUGUCGUGAGAUGUUGGGUUAAGUCCCGCAACGAGCGCAACCCUUGUCGUUAGUUGCUACGAAGGGCACUCUAAUGAGACUGCCGGUGACAAACCGGAGGAAGGUGGGAUGACGUCAAGUCCUCGCCGGCCCAUAUGGGUAGGGCCCCACACGUCAUACAAUGGUCGGGACCAGAAGGGUCGCCAACCCGCGAGGAGCCAAUCCAGAAACCCGAUCCGUGAUCCGGAUCGCAGUCUGUGAAUCGACUGCGUGAAGUCAGAAUCGCUAGUAAUAUCGCCGGAUCAGCAUGUGCGGUGGAAUACGUUCCCGGGUCUUGUACACACCGCCCGUCACAAGCAGAAUUAGGUUUUACAGAAUGAUUAGCCUGAUGCCGUAAGGAGGGCGAUUACCACAGUAGGAUUCGCGGCUGGGAUGAAGUCGUAACAAGGUAG
Molecule: ribosomal RNA, 1483 nt
Filed under: uncultured Bordetella sp.
Lineage: Bacteria; Pseudomonadati; Pseudomonadota; Betaproteobacteria; Burkholderiales; Alcaligenaceae
Description: partial 16S-23S ribosomal RNA intergenic spacer
Rfam family: Bacterial small subunit ribosomal RNA
Source: RNAcentral